This 367-nucleotide ribosomal RNA is filed under the name uncultured bacterium. RNAcentral describes it as "bacterial SSU rRNA". It matches the Rfam family "Bacterial small subunit ribosomal RNA", at positions 527 to 896 of the family's 1533-position model. The record is from RNAcentral.
GGAGGGUGCAAGCGUUAUCCGGAUUCACUGGGUUUAAAGGGUGCGUAGGCGGAUUAGUAAGUCCGUGGUGAAAUCUCCAAGCUUAACUUGGAAACUGCCAUGGAUACUAUUAGUCUUGAAUGUUGUGGAGGUUAGCGGAAUAUGUCAUGUAGCGGUGAAAUGCAUAGAUAUGACAUAGAACACCAAUUGCGAAGGCAGCUGGCUACACAAAUAUUGACGCUGAGGCACGAAAGCGUGGGGAUCAAACAGGAUUAGAUACCCUGGUAGUCCACGCCCUAAACGAUGAUUACUCGACAUUUGCGAUACACAGCAAGUGUCUGAGCGAAAGCAUUAAGUAAUCCACCUGGGAAGUACGACCGCAAGGUUG